GAGAGCACAAUACGAUGAGAGUUGUGAGUUGUGUUCGGGGGGGAGUUAUUUUCUAUUGUUGGCCUCUAUGGUAGAAUCAGUCGGGGAGGCCUGUGAGACGAUGGUUUACCCUAU
Non-coding RNA from Picea glauca (white spruce), 114 nucleotides. Lineage: Eukaryota; Viridiplantae; Streptophyta; Pinopsida; Pinales; Pinaceae. The record is from Rfam.